This 1322-nucleotide long non-coding RNA is filed under the name Phasianus colchicus (ring-necked pheasant). Its description in RNAcentral is "lncRNA (ENSPCLG00000000995.1)". Lineage: Eukaryota; Metazoa; Chordata; Aves; Galliformes; Phasianidae. The record is from RNAcentral.
CCUCCAUGAGCAGUAUUUAAAUCAGUGGUUUUGCAGACUUCUAAGUAGGAAGGAAAUAACUCAGUGUUUUUCUUUUUUCUUUUUUUAAAGUGUUUCUUGGCUUAAUUCAUGCAGAAAAUAAGGAUACAUAAGAGUUGGUCUAUGAAUUGAGAAUAAGGGAUCACUUAUACUUUCCCUUCACUCCUGAGGCAAGUGGAAAAAAAGCUGGCAUAAAACCCCAGACAACUAUGGAUUUGGUUGGGGCUGGGAUAUUUGCUGUGGGAUUGAGUUGGUUUGUAUGCUUUUGUUGUUGUGGAUUUUUUUUCUGAUGCAUGUUGGUUAUUCUAGAAGAUCAACAACUGCCAAGGAAAUACCAACUUACUUCUGUACUUCAGGGGCAUCCAGGAAAGUGCUCAGAAGCAUGAGACAAAACGUAGAGAGUUUGCAAACUAAAGGCAAGCAACAAGCAGUGGAUGGACCAAAGAUAGUUCCCUCUGGACAUAGCAUACAGCAACUAAGAUUCAUGUUUAAAGGGUUACAUGUUACAGUUUCAAACAAUGGUUUACACUCCAUGGAAAAAAAUACUGCAGAGACAUGCUUUGCAUGGAAUUGGAUAACUGAAUUUUGCAAGAAUAAUAGCUGAAACUGGCCUUCAGACCUUCUAGUUGUAGUACUGGAAGGAGAAGAUUGUGACCUCAAGUCAAUGGAUGAUAAAUACACUGUGCUUAAAAAAAACUGCUGGAGAACAUCAAGGAGAGAAGAAAACUGACCCAGUGUCUAAAUGUCUAGUUCUGGUCUCUCUUGAACAGUAGCUCAUUAUACCUACCUGAAAAGUGAGCACCAGGAUUUAUUCUUACUAAAAUGUGUCCUAAUUUUUAAGCUUUUUUUUAUGAUGGUUGUUUCUGUCUCUCUUUCUGAUCAUACUGUAAAACCUCCAGCUCACUCCUCACACCUUCACAUCUCCAACCAUUUAAUUAACAUUCUCCUUUUCCAUCCUUCUGCAGAUAAUAAGCACAAGCUGUGAAGCCUCCCCCUUGAUUAUCAGAGCAGACUAGCAGUUUCAAGCCUGUUUUACACUCAGUCUAUUGUUGUUCCAUUCGGAAAGUUAUUUUCAAAGCUUGCUUGUGAGAGCACUCUAUAAAGCAGUGUUAAAGCCUUGUUUCAGGCACAGACAGGGUAUCUUUUGCUUCUCUCUCAUUCAUGGAGCUGCAGAAAGAAACGUGAAAGGUCUGACACUGUCUUGCUGAAUCCAUGCAGCCAUCCCUCAGCUUAUCCUCAGCUCCCAUCAUUCUUGCUCUGGCUCCUGGGCUCUCAACUUCUGCUCAGGUCCCUUCCUCCAACAA